AAGGAGGAGGAGUGGAGCUGCAGGGAGGAGGCUCGACAGGAUCGCCUCCAGCCUGGGGCAGCUGGGUUGGCGAGGCGGGGGCUGGUUGCUGCCCUGGCGGGCGAGGUGAUAAACCAUGUUGUAGAAUGCCAUUAUCCCCACCUCCAGCUGGGGGCGCCUGGGCGUAUCUGAAAACCUUGGGGGAAGUGUUCACGUUUUUGGCGCUUAAGAAAAGGAAGAAGCGGCAGCUAGCUGCAGAGGCUGUUCCAGGCCUUCCAGCGACAUCGCAGAACCUGCACCGAGUGCCACUUGGACCGCAGUCUGGACCUGAAGCCUUGGGCCGGGGCACCCGUAGGAGCUCAGCCCUCACCGCUCCCGCCCUCUUUGGAUUCUCUUCUCCCCGAGCUUGGCCAGAGUUCAGGUCUCCUGGUUUCUGGUCUGCCCGGUAAGAGUGCAGGAGUGCAGAGGUGAGGAGGGGGAGUUAGGAGUCUUGUUCCGGUUCUCAGCAUAGUGAGAAGUCUGAAAAGAGGUGAUGAUCCGGUUGUGCUUGAAGGGGAGAGGCCAAAGCCCAGGACAUUCUGCCUUUUUAGGGGAUUUACCUUUCAAGCCCUAUUUGGUCUCCACUAGCCUUUGCUUCUGAGGAUGAAGGAGUUGAGCCUCUGUUACAUGGAUGUCUACAGAGAUCAUACCCCUUGCCCUGAACGACCGAGAGACUGAUAGCUCUAGGGCCAGCACCUGAGAAGCCUGUAGCCUGCCUGCCAGUGGACUCCUGUAUCCGGAGUAGACAGCCCUCCUGACCCCCCUGCUGGCUGCCUGCCUCUAGUGUCUUUGAUUCCUGCAGCUGGCCAGGCCUUCCUUGCAAAUGACGCUGAGAUUCAGCAGUUUGUGCACAGAUCAGAUUGGCUGCUUGAGUCUUUGGCAUCCUGAGCCAUCUCCCUUGGGCCUUCAGAAGGGCUAUGUCAUCCUCGGUGGGCAUGGCCUGGAUCCUGUGACCUCUCCAUGGGUGUCCAGUCUCACCCUGCCUUCAAUCACUCGCUCAGCCUUUCCGGCUUUUUGGGGACAAGCCCCGAUCCACCAGACACGUCUAUUACCUGUGUGUUUCUUUUAGCAGUGUUCAAAGAAAGAGAUCUAUUUCCAUUUUUUCUCCCAUAACUUGACCUCUAACUCAUUCAUCAUAAUAUAAGCUUGACGGGUAGACAUGCCCGUAAAUGUGUGUCCAAAUGCUUACUGUGGGAAAGAGGUCUGCCUCCUGCUAAGCUGAUUUCCUGGUGAGCUCUGGGAAAUUCUUCCUGACUAAUGGGUUGUUUCAGCAUUGCAGUCUUGCUCUUUCUGUGGAUCCAGAUUCGGAAAAGAUUGUGCCUUUUGGUGAAACUCCUGAAUCUACAGGAGAUAAUCGAAAAGGCUGAAGGUCUGUGCAGAUGGCUGGUGCUGCUGCUCAAGCAGAAAGAGAAACUUCUUUGUGGCUUGUGUCUGCUCCCAACACAGGAGAGACUUGGGGUGUCCAGUCAGCUGUGGUGCUCCUACUUUGGAUUCUCAUUGAAGCUGAGGCUUCCUCUUUAAGGACACACCUGCCAGGCCAGCAUGCUCAUGGUCCUUGUCCUCCUGGCACAUUCUUUGGUACAGAGGUUAAGAUCCUGAUGAUGUGAGAGUGUGCCUCCUAGAGUUGGUCCUGUUGACACAUGGCCCCUGAGUGCCACGGAGGUUUGGAGAUCUCUUUUGUAUGCAGGGCCUGGAUGAGCUGGUGCAUUGCCACCCUUGAUGCCUGACUUGGGCAGCCCACAGAGGGAUCCCAGGGACCAUAAGAUGUGUAUGGUAGAGGAAGAACUGGUACAACUGACCCUUUGCUGGUGAAUGGAUUGAAGGCAGGAAGAAGAUAGGUUCUUCUUGGAUAGAUGUACAGGUGGCCUUGCUGCAGCUGAACAGUCAGGUGAAGCCUCUCACUUAGGCCUAGUGCUGGAGAAUUUACAGGCCCACUUCUGCUCUAGCCUGCACGACUGAUCCUUUGAUCUGACACCAGAUCUGAAUUCUGGACUCUGGAAUGCCUGUCUGUUUUACCAGUUUCUCUUUGGUGGUGAUGCUAGGAAAGCAAUUUUUCUCAAAGGCUUGGAUGUGGACACUAGUCUGGUAUCUAAUAAUUGCUGCCCACUUUUUCCUGACUUCUUGGGAGAGGCAUUCAUGAGUCCAAAGCUGAGGUCAAAAUCACUUCUGUCUUAUCUGACAUUAUCUCUCAAAGCAAAUCUGGAUUCUAGCCUCCAGAAUGCCCAUUUCUUGGGCCAGUUUUUCACUGGUAAAUCUGCAAGGGUACAGGUUCCAUUUAAACCAUGCUGGUUGGGUAUCCUUUUGACUUGGCAUAAAAUACUUCUCCUUCAUUAUGAUUCACUUGGGUGAAAGCCAACAGAAAGUCUGGAAAGAUCCACUGUGAAAAGAUUUCAUCUGGACUCCACAGACACCGCUGGCCAGCUCUCACUUGCACAGGAUUUCCGCACACCGAGCCAGCCCCAGCCCUUGCUUCAAUAUUUUCCCACUCCAGCUCAUUAAACAUUUUAGUUUUUUGUUAUAUAUUUAAGACACUGAAGAAAGCAUAGGAAACCAGCAAAAAUUGAAUUUUGCUGGAAUUUAAGUUUGAGAGCAGCCCGCAAGAGGAACACAUUGGGUGGGUAGACAUGUUGUGCUUUUUAAUUUUUUUCCUGUAAGAUAGUCAACAAUAAUUAAUUUGAACAAGAAAAAAAUGGUUGUCAUACAUAUAUAAAAGUAAAGUCUAGAAAAAUAAAAAGUUUUUGUUUUGACCUAAUUCAGAUUAUAUAAAAAUAGAAAUCACAGUAUUUGUUUUUACAUAUUUUGAAAAUUAAAUAACCUUGAAAUGAUAAAGUGCAGAAAAUAAUGUGAAUAAUAAUGUUGAGUUUUCUAGUCCCUCUUCUGAUCCUUCAUCCUGGUAGCUUAUAUCCUGUUUUGCUGCAUAAUAAAUAAUUUUAUUCUCACCUUUGGGAAAUACCAAA
Long non-coding RNA from Homo sapiens (human), 2975 nucleotides. NCBI's taxonomy places the organism in Eukaryota, Metazoa, Chordata, Mammalia, Primates, Hominidae. The record is from Ensembl.